RNAcentral lists this ribosomal RNA (253 nucleotides) under uncultured bacterium. RNAcentral describes it as "partial 16S ribosomal RNA". It matches the Rfam family "Bacterial small subunit ribosomal RNA", at positions 524 to 776 of the family's 1533-position model. The record is from RNAcentral.
UACGGAGGAGGCAAGCGUUAUCCGGAAUUAUUGGGCGUAAAACGUCCGUGGGUGGCCAUUCAAGUCUGCUGUCAAAGCAUGGAGCUUAACUCCAUAGAGGCAGUGGAAACUGAAUAGCUAGAGUUCGGUAGGGGUAGCGGGAAUUCCCAGUGUAGCGGUGAAAUGCGUAGAGAUUGGGAAGAACAUCGGUGGCGAAAGCGCGCUACUGGGCCGAAACUGACACUGAGGGACGAAAGCUAGGGGAGCGAAAGGG